GUGUCAGCAGCCGCGGUAAGACAGAGGGGGCAAGCGUUGCUCGGAAUUACUGGGCGUAAAGGGCGCGUAGGCGGGAUGGCAAGUCGGUCGUGAAAUCCCUCGGCUCAACUGAGGAACGUCGAUCGAUACUGCUGUUCUUGAGGAUUGCAGAGGAGACUGGAAUUCCCGGUGUAGCGGUGAAAUGUGUAGAGAUCGGGAGGAACACCGGUGGCGAAGGCGGGUCUCUGGUAAUUCCUGACGCUGAGGCGCGAAAGCGUGGGGAGCAAACGGGAUUAGAUACCCUUGUAGUCC
RNAcentral lists this ribosomal RNA (291 nucleotides) under uncultured bacterium. RNAcentral describes it as "partial 16S ribosomal RNA". It matches the Rfam family "Bacterial small subunit ribosomal RNA", at positions 505 to 796 of the family's 1533-position model. The record is from RNAcentral.